RNAcentral lists this long non-coding RNA (368 nucleotides) under Sus scrofa (pig). Its description in RNAcentral is "lncRNA (ENSSSCG00070015630.1)". Lineage: Eukaryota; Metazoa; Chordata; Mammalia; Artiodactyla; Suidae. The record is from RNAcentral.
GGAAACUGCAGCUGGACCUGGGGGAGGGGGGCUGAGGCGAUGUCCUGAGAGGCCCGGAAACUGGAAUUUUCCAUGAUGUGGGUAAAGGCUCUGUGUGACUCAGUAGAGUCUGGCACACAGUGUGUCAUUGGCCUCAGGGAAGAGCCCGGGACAGAGAGAAUCUGGGGCAGGUUCCUGGCAAGACAGCCCGCAUGUACAUCCCUUCCGGGGCCUCCCAUGUCCCGUACGGGUUGCCACGAGGACCAUGGGGACCGAGGAAGGGUAAGCAUCCGGGUCUGAUGUGUUUGCAGAAUGAGGGAGGGAGGCGAUGGGCACAACGGCGGAUAAGGGGGACCCAGAGGCAGACUCUGCAUCCUAGUCCCAGUGAU